CCUACGGGUGGCAGCAGUAGGGAAUAUUGCUCAAUGGGCGAAACCCUGAAGCAGCAACGCCGCGUGGAGGAUGAAGGUUUUAGGAUUGUAAACUCCUUUUGUUAGAGAGGAUUAUGACGGUAUCUCACGAAUAAGCACCGGCUAACUCCGUGCCAGCAGCCGCGGUAAUACGGAGGGUGCAAGCGUUACUUGGAAUCACUGGGCGUAAAGAGUGCGUAGGCGGGGUAAUAAGUCAGAUGUGAAAGCCUGUAGCUUAACUACAGAACUGCAUUUGAAACUGGUAAUCUUGAGUGUGGGAGAGGUAGGUGGAAUUCUUGGUGUAGGGGUAAAAUGCGUAGAGAUCAUGAGGAAUACUCAUUGCGAAGGCGACCUGCUGGAACAUUACUGACGCUGAUGCACGAAAGCGUGGGGAGCAAACAGGAUUAGAUACCCUUGUAGUC
RNAcentral lists this ribosomal RNA (440 nucleotides) under uncultured bacterium. Its description in RNAcentral is "partial 16S ribosomal RNA". It matches the Rfam family "Bacterial small subunit ribosomal RNA", at positions 338 to 795 of the family's 1533-position model. The record is from RNAcentral.